UUGUCCGAUAAAGUGGAUGUGUUUCAAGAAUAUUUUAUAUUACUGUUAUCUUUACUGAAACAGAUAUAUAAUAAUAUAUUUUUUUAUACCUAUACAUAGUAAAUUAUAUGAACUUACUCUGUAGCGUCUGGAGUUUCGCAGAAUUAAACUGUGAAAUCGGCAGCGCCAAGUCUUGAGCAGAAGAAGAUACACUCUUGUCAGUGACAACAUAGUCUGAAGGUACCACAAAUGGUUGUUUCUUCUCACCAGAAGCAUGUAAAGCUUUAAAACAAGGAGGCAUUGGUAGGCAAGGAUUUUGUUCGAGCCACUUCUGGAAAGCUUUCGUUGAUCUGUGAAAUUAUAAAAAUAAAUAAUAAAGCUAAUGUGCUUUUAUUAGAUGAAAUUGAUUUAGAAUUUUUAAAUUUGAUUAUACGUUGUGUAUCUUAUAUUUAUUACAAUAAUUGUUGUAAAACUUAAUUAAAAUUAUAAUAUUUGUAAGUAUA
Galleria mellonella (greater wax moth) is the source of this 482-nucleotide long non-coding RNA. RefSeq lists it as uncharacterized. The transcript is spliced from 2 exons. Lineage: Eukaryota; Metazoa; Arthropoda; Insecta; Lepidoptera; Pyralidae. The record is from RefSeq and is a predicted model, not a curated record.